RNAcentral lists this long non-coding RNA (1447 nucleotides) under Heterocephalus glaber (naked mole-rat). RNAcentral describes it as "lncRNA (ENSHGLG00100027198.2)". Lineage: Eukaryota; Metazoa; Chordata; Mammalia; Rodentia; Bathyergidae. The record is from RNAcentral.
CGGCGGCCGUGGGCAGCGGGUGCCCGUUAGGAACCGGGCAGUCGGCCUCCUCUCGUUACCCUUUGGGGGUUCUUUUUGUAAUAGAAGCAGAUUUAAAUCUUGCAAUCACUGCUGGGAAGUGAGCUGUAUCAUCCUGAGAAAUCAGACCAUAGAGACAGGCCUGCAGCUGGCAGCCUGGGUCAUCUUUAAUCGCUUAACCCUUCAUAUCAAAGAACGGCUUGUAGCAGCGGAUUCCUUCUCCAGAAUUUCCCAUGGCAGAUUUUCUCAAGGAAAAGCUGGCCUGGAUCAGCAAUGGAAUACCUGGACAGGUAACUCUUGUAAAUAUGAAUCCAGCUGACUGCUGACCACCAGGCAGAGGAUGCGAUGGGAUGCUGCCAUUUUGGAGAGGUCUCAGCCAGUGAUGAAGAGUGGUCACAUGUAGGGAAAGUUUGGUGUGAUGAUUAUGGCAACUAGGACCAGUGCUGAAGCUAUCACCUCUCCUACUGCCAGCAUUGUGCAAUGGUGUGCAAUGGUAUCAUCAGCCCACAAGACAGAAUGAUGAAGAAGACUAAAGUGUGAGGAAGAUGUAGUUGGAAUCCAUUUUCCUGAAGACUGUCUUUAAGAUGAUUUCAUUCUCAUUUAUAAAAGAAUUUAAAGGAAGAACUUGCAAUGCCAGCUUUGGAUUUGGGAAACUGGAUCUAAAAGUGUGUGCGUGCGAGGUGCCACCUGCAUUGCGCCUUGGCCGACUGCUGAUUGUUCGCCACGAUCUGGCACUAAUCCCAAGGAUUAAGUGAGCAUCUGCUCCCCAGUGCUAACAGCCGGAUGGAGCCAAGCCAUCUACAGAAUGAAUCAGUCUUCUCAAGCUAUGUGCCUGAAGGCUUAAACUCCGGGGAAAGUCAUCAGGGAUGUCCUUAACAGGCCACUGUCUGGAAGUAGAAAAAUACCAUAACUUUGUGGUGUGAUCAAAGUACAGUAAUGACGAUGAAGCAGAAGCCCUGAGUUCCUUAAGAGUAGAUGUCCUCCUUUUUAUUGCCUUCAUAGGGCUUAUGGGACUACUCCCGAAGCCCCUUCCUGAUGUAGAGCCAUCUGGGGUCCCUUUAAUUUUCCCAGUGGUGGUGUGGGACUGCAUGAUUCCAAAAUCAAUUAUUCCCCUAGCCUCUAUUGUACUUGUAAAUUAAUGGUUAAAAUGUGCUUGUUAGUUCUGGGAUAAUAGAAUCUGUAACGAAACAGAGUUCCUAUGUAAAAUUGCUCAACCCCUUGUUUGUCCGGAGAACGAAUGUUCCCGGGCCCACUACCUGUACAACAAUCCAUCAAUGUGUCUGCUGACCAUCAGUACGUGACGGUCGUGACCAUUAGUGUGUGUGUCUGCAGAUCAUCAGUAUGUGACAGUCGACCACUAACCUUUGUUCCUUUUUUAUCGUAAAUCUACAUGUUAACCUCCCCCUCAACCCCCUAUAAAACAGCCUCG